UAGGGAAUCUUCGGCAAUGGACGAAAGUCUGACCGAGCAACGCCGCGUGAGUGAAGAAGGUUUUCGGAUCGUAAAACUCUGUUGUUAGAGAAGAACAAGGACGUUAGUAACUGAACGUCCCCUGACGGUAUCUAACCAGAAAGCCACGGCUAACUACGUGCCAGCAGCCGCGGUAAUACGUAGGUGGCAAGCGUUGUCCGGAUUUAUUGGGCGUAAAGCGAGCGCAGGCGGUUUCUUAAGUCUGAUGUGAAAGCCCCCGGCUCAACCGGGGAGGGUCAUUGGAAACUGGGAGACUUGAGUGCAGAAGAGGAGAGUGGAAUUCCAUGUGUAGCGGUGAAAUGCGUAGAUAUAUGGAGGAACACCAGUGGCGAAGGCGGCUCUCUGGUCUGUAACUGACGCUGAGGCUCGAAAGCGUGGGGAGCAAACGGG
This 429-nucleotide ribosomal RNA is filed under the name Chloroflexota bacterium. RNAcentral's name for it is "Chloroflexi bacterium partial 16S ribosomal RNA". It matches the Rfam family "Bacterial small subunit ribosomal RNA", at positions 355 to 776 of the family's 1533-position model. Lineage: Bacteria; Bacillati; Chloroflexota. The record is from RNAcentral. RNAcentral also lists the same sequence under 1 other name.